UACGGGGGGGGGCAAGCGUUGUUCGGAAUUACUGGGCGUAAAGGGCUCGUAGGCGGCCAACUAAGUCCGACGUGAAAUCCCAAGGCUUAACCUUGGAACUGCGUCGGAUACUGGAUGGCUUGAAUUCGGGAGAGGGAUGCAGAAUUCCAGGUGUAGCGGUGAAAUGCGUAGAUAUCAAGAGGAACACCCUGAGGUGAAGACGGGUUGCUGGGCCGACACUGACGCUGAGGCGCGAAGCCAGGGAGCAAACGGG
Molecule: ribosomal RNA, 253 nt
Filed under: uncultured bacterium
Lineage: Bacteria
Description: partial 16S ribosomal RNA
Rfam family: Bacterial small subunit ribosomal RNA
Source: RNAcentral